AUUGAACGCUGGCGGCAGGCCUAACACAUGCAAGUGGAACGGUAACAGGAAGAAGCUUGCUUCUUUGCUGACGAGUGGCGGACGGGUGAGUAAUGUCUGGGAAACUGCCUGAUGGAGGGGGAUAACUACUGGAAACGGUAGCUAAUACCGCAUAACGUCGCAAGACCAAAGAGGGGGACCUUCGGGCCUCUUGCCAUCGGAUGUGCCCAGAUGGGAUUAGCUAGUAGGUGGGGUAACGGCUCACCUAGGCGACGAUCCCUAGCUGGUCUGAGAGGAUGACCAGCCACACUGGAACUGAGACACGGUCCAGACUCCUACGGGAGGCAGCAGUGGGGAAUAUUGCACAAUGGGCGCAAGCCUGAUGCAGCCAUGCCGCGUGUAUGAAGAAGGCCUUCGGGUUGUAAAGUACUUUCAGCGGGGAGGAAGGGAGUAAAGUUAAUACCUUUGCUCAUUGACGUUACCCGCAGAAGAAGCACCGGCUAACUCCGUG
Molecule: ribosomal RNA, 490 nt
Filed under: uncultured bacterium
Lineage: Bacteria
Description: partial 16S ribosomal RNA
Rfam family: Bacterial small subunit ribosomal RNA
Source: RNAcentral